Molecule: unclassified non-coding RNA, 224 nt
Filed under: Hevea brasiliensis (rubber tree)
Lineage: Eukaryota; Viridiplantae; Streptophyta; Magnoliopsida; Malpighiales; Euphorbiaceae
Source: RNAcentral
AAGCACUUGCUCAACAGCUUGUUGUGAUGGGAUUUUCACACGAGCGGGCUACAAUGGCUCUAAUAUUAAAUGAAGGUAAAGUAGAAGACUCUGUUUCAUGGCUAUUUGAAGUGGGUGAAGAUGCAGAUAAGAACCGGGAUCAAAAACUUGGAGGGGGUAAGUUGAAAAUUGACAUAUCAGAAGAGCAUGCUAGAUUGGCUGAUAUGGAAAUAAGAUACAAGUGC